UGCUCAGGAUGAACGCUGGCGGCGUGCCUAAUACAUGCAAGUCGAGCGAACAGACAAGGAGCUUGCUCCUUUGACGUUAGCGGCGGACGGGUGAGUAACACGUGGGUAACCUACCUAUAAGACUGGGAUAACUUCGGGAAACCGGAGCUAAUACCGGAUAAUAUUUCGAACCGCAUGGUUCGAUAGUGAAAGAUGGUUUUGCUAUCACUUAUAGAUGGACCCGCGCCGUAUUAGCUAGUUGGUAAGGUAACGGCUUACCAAGGCGACGAUACGUAGCCGACCUGAGAGGGUGAUCGGCCACACUGGAACUGAGACACGGUCCAGACUCCUACGGGAGGCAGCAGUAGGGAAUCUUCCGCAAUGGGCGAAAGCCUGACGGAGCAACGCCGCGUGAGUGAUGAAGGUCUUCGGAUCGUAAAACUCUGUUAUUAGGGAAGAACAUACGUGUAAGUAACUAUGCACGUCUUGACGGUACCUAAUCAGAAAGCCACGGCUAACUACGUGCCAGCAGCCGCGGUAAUACGUAGGUGGCAAGCGUUAUCCGGAAUUAUUGGGCGUAAAGCGCGCGUAGGCGGUUUUUUAAGUCUGAUGUGAAAGCCCACGGCUCAACCGUGGAGGGUCAUUGGAAACUGGAAAACUUGAGUGCAGAAGAGGAAAGUGGAAUUCCAUGUGUAGCGGUGAAAUGCGCAGAGAUAUGGAGGAACACCAGUGGCGAAGGCGCACUCUCUGGUCUGUAACUGACGCUGAUGUGCGAAAGCGUGGGGAUCAAACAGGAUUAGAUACCCUGGUAGUCCACGCCGUAAACGAUGAGUGCUAAGUGUUAGGGGGUUUCCGCCCCUUAGUGCUGCAGCUAACGCAUUAAGCACUCCGCCUGGGGAGUACGACCGCAAGGUUGAAACUCAAAGGAAUUGACGGGGACCCGCACAAGCGGUGGAGCAUGUGGUUUAAUUCGAAGCAACGCGAAGAACCUUACCAAAUCUUGACAUCCUUUGACAACUCUAGAGAUAGAGCCUUCCCCUUCGGGGGACAAAGUGACAGGUGGUGCAUGGUUGUCGUCAGCUCGUGUCGUGAGAUGUUGGGUUAAGUCCCGCAACGAGCGCAACCCUUAAGCUUAGUUGCCAUCAUUAAGUUGGGCACUCUAAGUUGACUGCCGGUGACAAACCGGAGGAAGGUGGGGAUGACGUCAAAUCAUCAUGCCCCUUAUGAUUUGGGCUACACACGUGCUACAAUGGACAAUACAAAGGGCAGCGAAACCGCGAGGUCAAGCAAAUCCCAUAAAGUUGUUCUCAGUUCGGAUUGUAGUCUGCAACUCGACUACAUGAAGCUGGAAUCGCUAGUAAUCGUAGAUCAGCAUGCUACGGUGAAUACGUUCCCGGGUCUUGUACACACCGCCCGUCACACCACGAGAGUUUGUAACACCCGAAGCCGGUGGAGUAACCAUUUGGAGCUAGCCGUCGAAGGUGGGACAAAUGAUUGGGGUGAAG
Molecule: ribosomal RNA, 1484 nt
Filed under: Staphylococcus haemolyticus
Lineage: Bacteria; Bacillati; Bacillota; Bacilli; Caryophanales; Staphylococcaceae
Description: bacterial SSU rRNA
Rfam family: Bacterial small subunit ribosomal RNA
Source: RNAcentral